AUUAGUAAUUGAUUUUUUUAUAUGCAAAUUUAAGUAUUUUUUAAAAUAUUUUUAAAUAGGGUAUUUCAAAUUUUAUUCGCAGUAAAUUGAAUUAAAAAUAAAAGUAAUUUUGAUUUAGAAAUUCAGUUAAGAAUUAGCCAAAUUUGUGCCAGCAGUUGCGGUUAUACAGAUAGUUCAAUUAAUUUUUUUUCAGUUAGUAAUAAAUUGUUUAAUUUAAAAUAUGGCUAUAAAUUUAUUAAGUGAAAUUUUAAAUUUAGUUAAUUUUUUUUUAAUUAUAUGAACUUACAAAAUUUUAUUAAAAACUAGGAUUAGAUACCCUAUUAUUAAAAUGUAAAUUUUUAUGCUAAAUUAGUAUUAGUUAUGUUCUUGAAAAUUAAAGAUUUUGGCGGUAUUUUAGUCUUUUCAGAGGAACCUGUCCUAUUAUUGAUAGUCCACGAUUAAUUAUACUUGUUUUAUUAGUUUAUAUAUCGUCGUAGUUGAAUAUCUUAUAAGAGUUAAAAUAUUCAAGAUUUUUCAUUAAGAAAAUAAAUCAGAUCAAGGUGUAGCUUAUAGAUAAGAAGAGAUGGGUUACAAUAAGGUUAUUUAAACGGAAUAAUAAAUGAAAAAAAUUAUGAAGGAGGAUUUGAAAGUAAUAAGAUUAAAUUUAAUUUUAUGAUUUUAGCUCUAAAAUAUGCACAUAUCGCCCGUCGCUCUCAUAUAAAAUGAGAUAAGUCGUAACAAAGUAGGUGUACUGGAAAGUGUACCUAGAUUGA
Molecule: non-coding RNA, 752 nt
Filed under: Apatetica glabra
Lineage: Eukaryota; Metazoa; Arthropoda; Insecta; Coleoptera; Staphylinidae
Source: RNAcentral